UGAGGAAUUUUGCGCAAUGGGGGGAACCCUGACGCAGCAACGCCGCGUGGGUGAUGAAGGCCUUCGGGUCGUAAAGCCCUGUCGGGCGGGAAGAACGUCCCUUCGGGGAAUGACGGUACCGCCAGCGGAAGCACCGGCUAACUCCGUGCCAGCAGCCGCGGUAAUACGGAGGGUGCCAGCGUUAUUCGGAAUUACUGGGCGUAAAGGGCGUGCAGGCGGGAGAGCAAGUCUGAUGUGAAAGCCCGGGGCUUAACCCCGGAAGGGCAUUGGAAACUGCUUGUCUUGAGUUCUGGAGAGGAAGGGAGAAUUCCCGGUGUAGAGGUGAAAUUCGUAGAGAGCGGGAGGAACAUCAGUGGCGAAGGCGCCCUUCUGGACAGAAACUGACGCUGAGACGCGAAAGCGUGGGGAGCAAACA
RNAcentral lists this ribosomal RNA (415 nucleotides) under uncultured prokaryote. RNAcentral describes it as "bacterial SSU rRNA". It matches the Rfam family "Bacterial small subunit ribosomal RNA", at positions 355 to 774 of the family's 1533-position model. The record is from RNAcentral.